This is an RNA transcript of Amaranthus tricolor (Joseph's coat), 3645 nucleotides long. RefSeq lists it as uncharacterized. The record is from RefSeq and is a predicted model, not a curated record. NCBI's taxonomy places the organism in Eukaryota, Viridiplantae, Streptophyta, Magnoliopsida, Caryophyllales, Amaranthaceae. The transcript is spliced from 2 exons.
UUCGACUGUUUUUUUUAUAAAAAACCGGGAUUGGGCCACGCUCAAAGCGCAAAUUAAAAUUGAAGCAAUUUAAGGGCGGGGAUCAAGAUAAAUGGCUGCACACUUGCUAGCGGCGGUGCUACUUCUCGGAGAUUUCGAUUUCAUCUAGGGUUUCGCCAUUAUUCUCUUCUCUGUGAUACAUCUUGUUCUGAAUGUAUUUAUCAUCAGGAGUCAGGUUUGCAAUUUGUUGUUAAGUUAAAUGAAGCAUAUUGUGAAGAUUAUAUUUUUUUUUAAGAUUGGUCUUCUACAUGCUAAGUAUGUUACUGUCUGGGUGUCCUCUGUCCCUGCUAUUACAUUGUGAAGAUUUGCAUCAGUGAUAGUGUUAUUAAAUUCGCUUCCAAUCCUCACUAACCUCUGUUUUGUUAGUCUGUUGGUAAUUGCUGGAAUUUCCAAAUUGAUUUACCAAAUUGUGUACUUGGGGGUUUUAUUUGACUGUGCGCAUUUCUCCUGCCCUCUCCCUCGAGUGGGUAUGGGUAUGAUAUGUCUGCUACCUCUCCCUUUCGGACCCUGAUUUAUUGCAAGAUGCUGGGCUGAUGAGCAUGACCAUGACCAUUUACCAAAUUGUGAAGAGGGUUUUGCGAUUCAGGAUUCUUUAAUGAUCUAGGGUUUUGCAAUCAAAGGUGAAAAUACACAGGAGGCUGACAAUUUAUUUGCAUGGAAUUUACAAUUGUACUAAAUCUUUUCAUUUUCAUUCUUUAAAAAAUUAUUUGGGGAGAAAAUGUGGGAGUUAUAACUUCAUUUUCCUUAUUUAUGACUUUUAUUUUGUCUUAAAAAUUGUUAAUAUGCUUUAAGUUUAAUGAAUAUCAGACUUCUCAAUGGAGUGUUUGCUUUUGCUCAUGCUUUGUUUAGACUUGGAAAGGUGUGGGCUGUAGCCUCCUAUAGGUAUGUCUCUUUCUUUAGGUUAUACAGGAUGAAGUGAAAAUUUUAGCUGCAAUAGGAAUUUACUUGAGUAAUCUUUCUUAUCCAUCAAAUUUAGUGAAGUCUCGUUUUCCAUAAAUAUACUCGAUGUACACUUUUUAUUUUAAGGUCUAUAAUUUGUUUCGGUUGGUUCAUUGUUACUUGUUUCAUGGACUGUUUUUUUAGCAUGUACUGUCUAUACUAAAGGCUUCGAUACUACAAGCCUAAGGGGAAAAGAUUGUUAGCAUAUUUUCAUAAAUCCUGAAAUUGCGAUUUGUAGGCAUUUCUGGAUAAUCCCUAGUGUUUAGUUUACUGAUACAGCCCAGCCCCUUGUGCUAUUAUGUUCAAUAUGAAACUAUGAAACAUGGGAUGCCAUUUGUUGAACCAUAUACAUGUAUUUGUAUGUAUGUAUGUGAUUUGCCCUACUUUGGUGAAAAGGGAUAAUGACGACUUUUCUUAGUCUUGGGAUUCACUCUUGUUUCUGGAUUCACUCUUGUUUCUUAAUGAGAUUUGAAACGAAUAAUUCUUGGCUUGUUCUCUUUCUGUCCCUCUUAAUUUGUACAUCUUUCCAUUUUAAUUUGUUCCGCUCAUUUUACACUUUUUUUCUUUUUGGCAGUGCUCUCACUUUCUUUCUUUAAAUCUCAUCCACAAACUUAUUAUCUCUUUCUAUCGUAACCACUUAUUUCUAUCAUCUACUUGUUUUUAUGUUAUUCUCCAAUCCAAUUUCACUUUCUAUUAAAUUUUACCCAAAAUGAUUUGGGUCUCAUCCAGUGCAGUUGAAGCUCUUAUUUUGUUUAUUUUAGAUCUUUUUCUCAUUCUGAGCUGCCAGAUGAUGAUACCUAAACAUUGCGCAUGGGCUUUGAGUUCAUUUCUUAUAGUGAAUAUGAAAAGCUUUUAGGAACUGAUGGCAGUGAUUCUUUCUGCUUUGUGACAUCCUGUAUACUCUAGCAUUCUUAUCUAGAUGCUGCAUGCUUCAUAGGUGAUAUUGCUCUGUGCUUUCGAGCCGCCUGCACACUCGAUUAAUUGGCAUAUCAGGGUUUGAUGGUUGGCACUGGUGUGAUGCAUAGUUACUAAAAAACUUCCACUUAAAGACAAUUUCUUAAAGCAAAAAAAUCAUUUUAAUUUAAUUUUAAUUUUCAAAUAUAUUUUUUGUACAUAAUGUAUUUCGUACUCAAUCGUCCCCAAGUCAACUUAGAUUGUGUUUCUUAUUUCCGUUCCCGUUCCAUGUUCCAAACCGAAUGCCAUUCCAGAUAACAAUAGUAUGAUGCGCUUUCAGACUUAUCCUUUAGUUGUUUCCACUUGCUAAAAGAUAUCUUUUAUGUGGGUAGGAAAUCAAAAAGGAUAGUUGAUUCCUUUGUGCUUGAAAAUCUUAUAGAAAGAAGAAUGCUCACUAUUCUAAGUUUGAUUAAGUGGUACGCAAGAAAAUUUCUUAUAGGUGAGGGUAAGGAAAAUCAAAUAUUCGUGUAACUAGUGGGAUUUAAACCUUUCAGUCACAAGGGUGAAAGGAAAAUCGUUUAACCACUAGACUUUGUUUCCAUCAAUGUUGAUAGCCCCAUUGAAGUUCAAUUUGAUGUUCAGUAGGUCCCGUCCUUUUUGCCUUUACUCGCCUCUCCAUGUUUGGGUGUGAUCCGGAGCCCUAUUGGAACUCCUUUAACCAGUCUAGGGCCGAUUUAACAAAAAAACUCAUAAAAUGUUUAAAGAGGGAAAAUUGAAAAAGACAUAAUAAAUUAUAUUCUUGUGUUCAAUUUAAUUUGUCCAAUUUUUUAUUUUAUACUGUAUUAUUGAAUUUGUCUUAUUUCUAUUUUAGAUAUGACUUUACACCUUUUUUCUUCCUUAAUAUUCUUUCUUUUAUUUUUAAAUAUCCCAUUACAUUAAUUCAUUUUACUAACUUUUUAGUCCCUGUGUCAAAAGCAAUUUGGACAAAAUGACAUGGACGGAGGAGUAAUAAUCUCCUCUCGAUGGAAAAAUUAUCCCAUUACAUUAAUGCAUUUUAAAAACAUGAAUUUUUAAAGAUACAAAAAUAAUGUUUUUUCACUUGAUAAGUACAAUUAAUUAUAAGAAAAAAUUAUAAAAAAACUAUCUAAUUUAUAGCACUUUUUUGUAAAAAUGUAUUAAAUCUAAUUUUUUUGCAAAAAACUACUUAAUAUGAUAUAAUUCUUUGCAAAUAAAUAUCAUUUAACAGAAAAUGUUAAUUGACCGUUAAAUAAAACACAUAAAUUUAAAAAAAUCCCAAUAUCAUACUACCGAAAACAAAGACUCCUUGAUCUCUUGUCAGUUGUCACUGAGCUUUGCAGGCACUACCAAGGUUAGCAAGUUGAAGCUGAAGGUCCUCCUCUUCUAUCCUCCUUCCUCUUCUCAGCUUCUGUCAUGGUCCAUCUCAAAUUCUUGGCCUUGUACACUCAAACACCACUUUACACCCAACUUUAACUGGCGGCCCCAACCAGCGCCACCUACAAAUUAACCCUAGCCUCAACGGCCCGCUAAGAUCCACCCCAAGUUCCCUUCACUGCCUUCCCCAACGGUCAAAAACCCGUUGCCCCACCGCACUUUCUUAACUAGUUUGAACUUUCAACUGCCUCAAACCCCAUCUUUGUCAUUUGUGAAGCCCUCUUCCUCCACCAUUUUCACUGCUAGGGGUGUUUAAUGGGCCGGGUGGGCUUAAGUAAAUAUAGGUUGGGCUACUUUAAAACUAAGUAUAUUUGAAAAAAA